GGCUAAGCCGCUCAUCGACUAAUCCUCGCAAAAUCAACCUUAGAAAGGGCCAUUCCCGGGGACGGCGCUAGGACCUUCCAUAAUGACACCACAAAGCCCCAGCUGUCAUAGUCGUAUCCGCAGGUCCUGCUGCUCCUGCUGCUGCUGCUGCUGCUGCUGCA
Drosophila guanche is the source of this 161-nucleotide long non-coding RNA. RefSeq lists it as uncharacterized. Lineage: Eukaryota; Metazoa; Arthropoda; Insecta; Diptera; Drosophilidae. The transcript is spliced from 3 exons. The record is from RefSeq and is a predicted model, not a curated record.